RNAcentral lists this ribosomal RNA (988 nucleotides) under Lentilactobacillus buchneri. RNAcentral describes it as "bacterial SSU rRNA". It matches the Rfam family "Bacterial small subunit ribosomal RNA", at positions 38 to 984 of the family's 1533-position model. The record is from RNAcentral. Lineage: Bacteria; Bacillati; Bacillota; Bacilli; Lactobacillales; Lactobacillaceae.
AACCAUACGCUCUAUAAUGCAGUCGACGCGUCUCCGUUGAUGAUUUUAGGUGCUUGCACUUGAAAGAUUUAACAUUGAGACGAGUGGCGAACUGGUGAGUAACACGUGGGUAACCUGCCCUUGAAGUAGGGGAUAACACUUGGAAACAGGUGCUAAUACCGUAUAACAACCAAAACCACCUGGUUUUGGUUUAAAAGACGGCUUCGGCUGUCACUUUAGGAUGGACCCGCGGCGUAUUAGCUUGUUGGUAAGGUAACGGCCUACCAAGGCGAUGAUACGUAGCCGACCUGAGAGGGUAAUCGGCCACAUUGGGACUGAGACACGGCCCAAACUCCUACGGGAGGCAGCAGUAGGGAAUCUUCCACAAUGGACGAAAGUCUGAUGGAGCAACGCCGCGUGAGUGAUGAAGGGUUUCGGCUCGUAAAACUCUGUUGUUGGAGAAGAACAGGUGUCAGAGUAACUGUUGACAUCUUGACGGUAUCCAACCAGAAAGCCACGGCUAACUACGUGCCAGCAGCCGCGGUAAUACGUAGGUGGCAAGCGUUGUCCGGAUUUAUUGGGCGUAAAGCGAGCGCAGGCGGUUUUUUAGGUCUGAUGUGAAAGCCUUCGGCUUAACCGGAGAAGUGCAUCGGAAACCGGGAGACUUGAGUGCAGAAGAGGACAGUGGAACUCCAUGUGUAGCGGUGAAAUGCGUAGAUAUAUGGAAGAACACCAGUGGCGAAGGCGGCUGUCUGGUCUGUAACUGACGCUGAGGCUCGAAAGCAUGGGUAGCGAACAGGAUUAGAUACCCUGGUAGUCCAUGCCGUAAACGAUGAGUGCUAAGUGUUGGAGGGUUUCCGCCCUUCAGUGCUGCAGCUAACGCAUUAAGCACUCCGCCUGGGGAGUACGACCGCAAGGUUGAAACUCAAAGGAAUUGACGGGGGCCCGCACAAGCGGUGGAGCAUGUGGUUUAAUUCGAUGCUACGCGAAGAACCUUACCAGGUCUUGA